UACAGAGGUGCCAAGCGUUAGGCGGAAUCACUGGGCGUAAAGCGCACGUAGGCGGAUUGCUAAGUCAGGGGUGAAAUCCUGGAGCUCAACUCCAGAACUGCCUUUGAUACUGGUGAUCUUGAGUCCGGGAGAGGUGAGUGGAACUGCGAGUGUAGAGGUGAAAUUCGUAGAUAUUCGCAAGAACACCAGUGGCGAAGGCGGCUCACUGGCCCGGUACUGACGCUGAGGUGCGAAAGCUAGGGGAGCAAACGGG
This 253-nucleotide ribosomal RNA is filed under the name uncultured bacterium. RNAcentral's name for it is "partial 16S ribosomal RNA". It matches the Rfam family "Bacterial small subunit ribosomal RNA", at positions 524 to 776 of the family's 1533-position model. The record is from RNAcentral.